This 3087-nucleotide unclassified non-coding RNA is filed under the name Hevea brasiliensis (rubber tree). The record is from RNAcentral. Lineage: Eukaryota; Viridiplantae; Streptophyta; Magnoliopsida; Malpighiales; Euphorbiaceae.
UUUUUUUUUUUAAUUAUUGUUAUUUUGGCCUUCUGUUUGGUUGCUGAGAAAAGAAAAAUCUUCGCAGGCGGUUAUAUAGCUGCGAGGAAAUAGGAUUUUUAGGGUUGUAGGUUGUUGCGGAGGAUUGUAUAUUUUACAACCGUUUUACUGGCUACCUUAUGAACAUAGUUUCAUUCAAUUCGGUAAUCUAGGGUGUCUUUGCUAUGAUAGGUAUAGCUUAGCUUCAUCUUCUUUUUUCGUUUCGAUAUAAAUUUGUGUAGAUUUUUUUAUUUAAUUUUAAAUUUUAUUUCAGCUUGGAACGGAACAUUAGCUUCACUGGAGAUUUGAUUGGCUUCUGUGGAUUGAUUUUCUUUUUAUAAUUCCUGCUUCAGAAAACUAAUUAUUAUUAUUAUUAUUUUGGAAUACUAGAAAUCACUAAUCUCAAUUUAAGCACCAUAAUUUUAUUGGCUUUUAGAAUUAGGGGAAGGUGCGACCAUUAUUUUGAUAACUGUUUUACGGCACGUUAGAUACUUUGGCCUGGGUAUAGGAUUUGCGGGCUGGUUGGUUUGGUGGCGUGGGUGUAUUGUACAGUGGUAGACUCGAUUUUUUUUGUUUUUCUUUUCUUUUAAAUUUUUCUAGUUUUAUUUUUAAAGUUUUUUUAUUUAAUUUUAUAUUAACUAUAUUGCACCUUUCUGUAGGUGGUCUUAAUCCGUGCAUGUUUUAAUUUAUAUGGUUAAAUUUGCGUAUUCUGUGUUACGGCUCUGCUAUUUUGAUUAAUUUGGUUUUGCUGGUUGAUAAUGCAGAGCCAUGCCAACGUUUACUGCUAUAGCGCUGGAUAGGUUGUUAGAACCUGGAGCUUCUAAAUCUGUUGACAAGACUGUUCCUAGUUCAAACCCUGUUCCAAAAUCAAAGUUUCUUCCAAAAACGAGACCUGUGCCUAAUUCAACUCUGGAGAGAAAAAAUAGUACAUCAGCCACAGAAAGGAAAGUUAGCCGUCCUCAGAUAUCUCCAGCACUCUAUGCAACUCCUGAAGUAACCCCACUCCCUGAUUCACCAUCUUCAUUCACUCCUUCACCAUAUAUCAUUAACCAUAAGCGGCGUGGGCCUCGCCUUUUAAAGGGCUUUACUGAGGAUGAUGUUGCGACCAGCAGGAAAACUUUGGCUGAGGAUAAGGUCAACAGGAAUGCAAAGAAUUCAGAAAAUAGUGUUGUUGAUUCAGCUAAAGAUCACACUGUUACUUUUUCCAUUUCUGAUUCUGUUGAAGGGAAGCAUGUAAAUGGUGCCCAGGAUAGUCCCAUUGAGGGAGAGAUUGCAAACGGUGCCCAUGAGACCCUUAGUGAAGAGGAGCAUAUGAAUGGUGUUCAUGAUGGUGAAAUAGGAAGCAGCAAUGAGGAACUUAAAAGCAGAAAUGCUAGGAAUGGCUUGGUCAUGGAAAAGGAUGCCUUGAAGCUUGUUGCAUUGACUUCAGAAAGAGAUGGUGAUCCUGAGGAUUUCUUUGAUCCUCAGGAAUCAAUGAGUUACACUAGUAGCACUGAUGGUGAGGACAAUUCUGUGGUGGAAAGUUCUGUGAAACUAGCUGCAACUACACCUGUGGGAGAAUUCUAUGAUGCUUGGGAAGAGCUUUCCACUGAGAGUGAGCGUCAGACUUCAAUACGUGACAUUGAAGCAGAAUUGCGUGAAAUUAGAUUAAAUUUAUUGAUGGAGUUAGAGAAGCAAAAGCAAGUAGAGGAAACUCUAUUUAAUGUGCAAAAUCAGUGGCAGAGGAUCAGGCAACAAUUAUCCCUUGUAGGAUUGACUCUCCCGGCAUUUCGCAUUGCUGUUCCAGAGGAUGAGCUGUCUGCAGGUACUGAUCUUGGAGAAGAGCUGUGCCAGCAGGUAUAUGUUACUCGGUUUGUGUCAGAGUCCAUUGGGAGGGGCAUUGCAAAAGCUGAGGCAGAGAUGGAGAAAGAAGCUCAGAUUGAAGCUAAGAACUUUGAGAUUGGUCGAUUGUGGGAUCGGCUUCAUUAUUAUGAGGCUGUGAAUCAAGAAAUGUCUCAGAGGAACCAAGAAGCUGUAGAGAUGGCUCGGCGUAAUAGGCAGGUUGGGAAAAGAAGGCAGCGAUGGGUUUGGGGAUCAAUUGCUACAGUAAUUACCCUUGGCACUGCAGCUUUAGCAUGGUCUUACUUUCCAUCAGCAAAAGGAUCAUCUUCCAAUGAUGAUUCUAUGGUUCCUGAACAUGAUGAUGCAGCUAAGUGAAGUAUUCAGUCAGUCAAAAGAAUAUGAUGUUGUAGAACAAAAGAGAAUAAAAGGUUGUUUAUGCCACCAUGUUAAUAGCAAGUUGCAUUUUCCCUGUCUGAAAGAGCAUGGUAUCAUGAAAAUCAUUAUGGUACAUCAUAUCCGUUGCUAGUAAUGUGGGAAGCAGCAAAUUUUGAUUUUGAUCAAUCAUUACUUGAAAUUAUUUUCCAACUUUUUUUGGCGAGUUUGAAGGCUAUAGAUGUGCAUUUGCAUAUAUGAAAGAGUUUGUUAGGUUCUGUUGAAGAACUUUUUUUAUUCAAGCCAUUGUUCUUGUUCUUUGACCCUGAAAAUCUUAUCAGGAACUAGAUCGAGGAUAAUGCAAUUGAUGCCUUGAAACAUGUUCAUGCCCUUGCUAAGAAUGAUGCCAAGUAAUGCUUUUGAGUACUAUUUUGUAGAAUACUGUUGGCAUCUUGUAAUUCACUUUGAUUGCAAUCAGCAUCCACGAUCUUCUUGUAACAUGUUUGGGAUUGCUUGAGGAAAUUUCAAUGUUAUGUUGUAUUUGGUUGUGCGUAUUACGUAUGUUGCGGGCUUGUUUGUUAAAGGCACGUCUGCCAAAUGCCUGUAAAGGUGAGAGCAGAGAAGUGGAUGUCUUUUGGAAAGUGCGCGCCUUCUUAGCUCCUUCUAGGCGCAGGGCCUUAGGUAUAAGUUUCUAAUUUCCACCUCUGGCAAGCACUUGCAUCAGGCAUCGAUCAUCAGCGAAAGGACACUAUCACUAGACUUUAGAAUUUUUGAUCUACUGACGGUUGAAAGCUCGUCAUAAUUGCUGUUGCCAGUUUUGGAAAAUCGUCUGAAUCUCUUUACCACUACACUUGUAAAUUGUAAUUACUGAGUGCC